Molecule: ribosomal RNA, 446 nt
Filed under: uncultured bacterium
Lineage: Bacteria
Description: partial 16S ribosomal RNA
Rfam family: Bacterial small subunit ribosomal RNA
Source: RNAcentral
AGCGAACGCUGGCGGCAGGCUUAACACAUGCAAGUCGAACGCCCCGCAAGGGGAGUGGCAGACGGGUGAGUAACGCGUGGGAACGUACCCUUUGGUUCGGAAUAACUUGGGGAAACUCAAGCUAAUACCGGAUAAGCCCUUAUGGGAAAGGUUUACUGCCGAAGGAUCGGCCCGCGUCUGAUUAGCUAGUUGGUGAGGUAAUGGCUCACCAAGGCGACGAUCAGUAGCUGGUCUGAGAGGAUGAUCAGCCACACUGGGACUGAGACACGGCCCAGACUCCUACGGGAGGCAGCAGUGGGGAAUCUUGGACAAUGGGCGCAAGCCUGAUCCAGCCAUGCCGCGUGAGUGAAGAAGGUCUUCGGAUUGUAAAGCUCUUUUGCCAGGGACGAUAAUGACGGUACCUGGAGAAUAAGCCCCGGCAAACUUCGUGCCAGCCGCCGCAGUAA